CCUACGGGAGGCAGCAGUUGGGAAUUUUGCACAAUGGACGAAAGUCUGAUGCAGCAACGCCGCGUGCGGGAUGAAGAUUUUCGGAUUGUAAACCGCUUUUAUUUGGGAGUAACUGUUUGAACGUACCAAAUGAAUAAGCACCGGCUAACUCCGUGCCAGCAGCCGCGGUAAUACGGAGGGUGCAAACGUUGUCCGGAAUUACUGGGCGUAAAGCGCAUGUAGGUGGUCUAAUAAGUGAACGAUUAAAUACCGACGCUUAACGUCGGAAAGGUUAUUCAUACUGUUAGACUCGAGGAAGACAGGGGCAGAUGGAACUUUAAGUGUAGGAGUGAUAUCCGUAGAUAUUUAAAGGAACACCAAUGGCGAAGGCAGUCUGCUGGGUCUUUUCUGACACUGAGAUGCGAAAGUGUGGGGAGCAAACGGGAUUAGAUACCCCGGUAGUCCACACUGUAAACGAUGCUCACUAGGUCUUGGAGGGUAUCGACCCCCUUUUGGACCGAAGCUAACGCGUUAAGUGAGCCGCCUGGGAGUACGAACGCAAGUUAAACUUAAGGAAUUGACGGCUGAGAGNGCGAGNGACACGAGGAGUAG
RNAcentral lists this ribosomal RNA (591 nucleotides) under uncultured bacterium. RNAcentral's name for it is "bacterial SSU rRNA". It matches the Rfam family "Bacterial small subunit ribosomal RNA", at positions 338 to 944 of the family's 1533-position model. The record is from RNAcentral.